AUUGAACGCUGGCGGCAUGCCUUACACAUGCAAGUCGAACGGCAGCAUGAUCUAGCUUGCUAGAUUGAUGGCGAGUGGCGAACGGGUGAGUAAUACAUCGGAACGUGCCCUGUAGUGGGGGAUAACUAGUCGAAAGAUUAGCUAUUACCGCAUACGACCUGAGGGUGAAAGUGGGGGACCGCAAGGCCUCAUGCUAUAGGAGCGGCCGAUGUCUGGUUAGCUAGUUGGUGAGGUAAAGGCUCACCAAGGCGACGAUCAGUAGCUGGUCUGAGAGGACGAUCAGCCACACUGGGACUGAGACACGGCCCAGACUCCUACGGGAGGCAGCAGUGGGGAAUUUUGGACAAUGGGCGAAAGCCUGAUCCAGCAAUGCCGCGUGUGUGAAGAAGGCCUUCGGGUUGUAAAGCACUUUUGUCCGGAAAGAAAUGGCUCUGGUUAAUACCUGGGGUCGAUGACGGUACCGGAAGAAUAAGGACCGGCUAACUACGUG
This 490-nucleotide ribosomal RNA is filed under the name uncultured bacterium. Its description in RNAcentral is "partial 16S ribosomal RNA". It matches the Rfam family "Bacterial small subunit ribosomal RNA", at positions 30 to 507 of the family's 1533-position model. The record is from RNAcentral.